This 597-nucleotide long non-coding RNA is filed under the name Gallus gallus (chicken). RNAcentral's name for it is "long non-coding RNA NONGGAT006507". Lineage: Eukaryota; Metazoa; Chordata; Aves; Galliformes; Phasianidae. The record is from RNAcentral.
ACACAAGCAGAGCACAGGGCAUGAAGUCAGGCACAGAGGGGCCAUCUAAGAGACUCCUAGGCAGUUCCAAGUCUUGGCCUGAGAGUUAGCAUUGAUGAAGCCCUAUUUCCAACAGAGAAUGAUUAUGACAACUUGUUUUUUGGGAUACAGAUGUGGCUAGACUGUAAUGGUUGCCUUUCAGAUCAGAGUCCCUGAUGACCUGGCUUUCUCAUUGUGGCUUCAGUGCAAUAGAAGAAUGUACUCUCUUGUGAAUCACUGGCCAUGGGACCUCACUCCUUAGAGACAUCUGUCCACUGAGACCUCACUUUACUGUUGCAGUGACUAAGUAGGAAAUAGGAACCUCAAGGAAAGUGAUGCUGCAGUCACCAACUCCUCAGAGCCACGGUGCAGCCCCAGCCCCUGCUCCCAUGACACAGCCCUGCACCUGAGCAGCACGCAGAUCUCAGGACCAUGCUUCUACAGUCAAAAACCUUUUCAUGGUGCCAGGACACUGAGCUUUUACACUGUCCAGAUGCCAUGGAGAUUUGGCCAGUUGAUUUAUUGAAAUCAGUUAUUAGUGCUGUACAUUGGUACUUUGAACAUGCACCCUAACCAAGA